Molecule: unclassified non-coding RNA, 4113 nt
Filed under: Hevea brasiliensis (rubber tree)
Lineage: Eukaryota; Viridiplantae; Streptophyta; Magnoliopsida; Malpighiales; Euphorbiaceae
Source: RNAcentral
UAUAUCAUUAUGCUUGAGAGGGGAAACGUGAAACAAAGGGACCAACUAUUUGAUUUCAUCAGGAGUGAAUGGCUAAUGACAAAUACAACUAUAAAUAGAGAUCCUGAUGUACAGUCUCUGAAAACAUGUGCUGCUGAGGAAACUAAAGCAUAUAUUGUGAAUGCGACUGGGGCAUCAGUUACUGCAGACUCCAGUGUUAAUCUCAUAUAUCGAUAUUGUGAAAAGCUUCCUGGUGACAGGUACUUUACACCAAGGCCAACUUUUGAGUUCGAAGUUUUUGAACAGUCAUGCCAGUGUAAAAUAAAGUUACCUGCCAGUGCAGCUUUUCAAACACUAGUUGGCCCAAUAUGUAGGAGUCAACAAUUAGCUAAGCAGCUUGUAUGCUUGGAAGCUUGUAAGAAGCUGCAUCAAAUGGGUGCCCUGGAUGAUCAUCUCCGACCGUCAUUUGAUGACCCUAUGGAAGAUAAUUGUAUUAUGAGAAGCAAAGAAACAUUAGCAGGUGCAGGAACUACAAAAAGGAAGGAAUUGCACGGAACCACUGGCAUUCAUGCAUUAUCUGGAAGCUGGGGAGAGAACCUUGAUGGAACCACCUUCUAUGCAUAUAAGUUUGACUUCUCUUGUAGUAUUGCCACAGAGAUGUAUUCCGGAUUUAUUCUUCUAAUUGAGUCGAAGCUUGAUGAUGAUGUUGGAAAUGUUGAGUUGGACCUUUACUUGGUCAGGAAGAUUGUUAGGGCUUCUGUUUCUUCAUGUGGACAAGUGCAUUUAGAUGCUGAACAGAUGAUGAAAGCAAAAUGCUUUCAUGAAUUAUUUUUCAAUGCCUUAUUUGGGAAGUUGUUUACCGGGUCCAAAUCAUCUAAAACAAGAGAGCUUUUGCUUCAGAAAGAAAAAAGUUUGUUUUGGAUCCCAUCAAACAUGUAUUUGCUACUACCACUCGAGACUUUCAGUGCUUCAAAUGAUGAGUCUUGGAAAAUAAAUUGGAGUGGAGUUGAUUCUUGCACAUAUGUGGUAGAAUUUUUGAAGAACUCUUUCUUGGGUGCUGAGCAAUGUAAUGGUGAAAGCAGAAGGUCAUCAUCUUGUAGGGUUGGCUCAUCUGUUACUGAAUGCAGUGGUGUAAACACAAUCCACUUUGCUAAUUUUUCAGUUGAUGCAGAUAAACUGAAAGAUGUGGUGGUAUUGGCAAUUCACACAGGAAAAAUAUACUCUGUUAUUGAAGUGGUGAGUGAUAUGUCUGCUGAGAGUCCUUUUGAGCAAAAUGCUGGUGAUGCACCAUCAAAUUAUUCUUCAUUCACUGAGUACUUCAACAAAAAGUAUGGAAUUGUGCUGAUGCAUCCAGGACAACCUUUGUUGCUGUUAAAGCAAAGCCAUAAACCACACAACCUGCUUCCAAAUCCUAAUGAUGAAGUUACUUCAAAAGAUGGCAUGGCUGUUGUAAAACAGCGACAAUUUGUUCAUAUGCCACCUGAGCUUUUAGUCAGUAUUGAUAUUCCAGUCCAGACUCUAAAAUCAUUUUACUUACUUCCAUCUUUGAUGUAUCGUCUGGAGUCUCUGAUGUUAGCCAGUCAACUUAGACAGGAGAUUGACUGCCGGAUUCCUGACUGUUAUAUCCCAAGUUCACUGAUGUUGGAAGCAAUAACAACACUUAGAUGUAGUGAAACUUUUUCCAUGGAGCGAUUGGAGUUGCUUGGAGAUUCAGUUUUGAAGUAUGCUAUAAGUUCUGACCUCUUUCUAAGAUACCCUACAAAACAUGAAGGCCAAUUAUCUGCUCGGCGCAUACAGGCUGUUUGUAAUUCAGCCCUACAUAAAUUGGGAAUAAGUCUCAAAUUACAGGGAUAUAUACGAGACAGUGCAUUCAAUCCUCGUUGUUGGGUUGCUCCAGGGCAGCGACCUGCAUAUUAUAUUCCUUGUAAAUGUGGGGUUGAUACUUUAGAAGUGCCUUUAGAUGCCAAAUUUCAAACUGAAGACCCUAAAAUUAAGAUUGCAAUAUGCUGCUCCAUGGGCCACCGAUGGAUCUGUUCCAAAACCAUAUCUGAUUGUGUUGAAGCCAUUUUAGGAGCAUACUACGUAAGUGGAGGACUGAUUGCUGCAGUUCAUGUGAUGAAGUGGCUUGGUAUGGAUAUUGAAUAUGAUCCUUCAUUGGUAGAUGAAGCCAUUUCCAGUGCUUCUUUACGUUCUUAUAUGCCAAAAGAAAAUGAGGUAACGAGCCUCGAGUCAAAGCUUGGUUAUACAUUUUCUGUCAAGUUUCUUAUACAAGAGGCUAUGACACAUGCAUCCAUGCAAGAGCAGGGAGUUGGCUAUUGUUACCAGAGACUUGAAUUUCUUGGUGACUCUUUAUUGGACUUGCUCAUCACAUGGCAUCUCUAUCAAAGCCACACAAACAUUGAUCCUGGUGAGUUGACAGACUUGCGCUCAGCUUGUGUUAGUAAUGAAAAUUUUGCUCAAAUUGUUGUGAGAAGGGAGCUAUACAAGCAUCUUCAACAUUGUUCUACAUUACUUCUAAGCCAGAUAACAGAAUAUCUGGAGUCUUUUUGUGAAUCUGAUGAAGCCACCAAAUUGUCCACAGUUCCAAAGGGUCCCAAGGCUCUUGGAGACCUACUUGAAAGUAUAGCAGGGGCAAUGUUAGUUGAUACAAAGUUUGACCUUGAUGAAGUGUGGAGAAUAUUUAAGCCACUGUUGUCUCCAAUUGCAACACCUGAGAGUCUGGAGCUGCCUCCAUUGCGUGAACUGAUUGAAUUAUGCGACUCUCAUGGAUAUUUUAUAAAAGAAAGAUGUACAAUUAAGAAUGACAUUGUGCAUGCGCAUCUUAGACUACAGCUGAAUGAUGUUCUUUUGGUUGGAGACGGAUAUGAUCGGAACAGAAAAACUGCAAAAGGAAAAGCGGCUUCUCAUUUGUUGAAGGAACUUGAGGUUUGUUCUACUUACGCAGUUAUGUUGAUUGUUUCAUAGUUUCUAACAUAUCACUAAAUAAUUCAAAUUCUUUUUAGAUAAAAAGCCUUAAAGAUCUUUUGUUUCUUAAGAUCUUGUCUUUCUAAGAAUUAUCACUAUUCUUGUAAGAUUAAAAUCCUUUUGAAUGAUUGCGUUCUGUAUUUGAAAAUUUGUACUUAAAAUGCUUUUAGAAGGAAGCAAAGGAGUUGUGCAAAAUUGUUAUGAUAUCCUCUCCUUUUAUUAUGGUUAUUUUCUUGGCAAGAUCCCUGGGUGACAAGCAAAAGCAAAAAUAUUAUAUAUCCGUUAUCCAGGAAAAUUAUGUAAAUUAUAAUGCAUUUAUGAAACCAAAGUUAUAACUGUUUUCAGGGUUCAAAACCACAGAACAAAUGUCAUUCUUCUGGACGGCUUGCUAAUUGGCAUUGAUAUAUCCUAUAUUUGUCUUGUACCAAUAUUGUCUGAUUUUUAAUGAAACAGAAUAGAGGAAUAAGGUACUCCCGAGGUGAUUCAAAGAGGAAACAAGAUCCUGAUCACGUUGUUGAUUCAUCUUCCCUAGACCUAACAAACGCUCACACCUGUGAGCCAAAAAACCAUAAGAAGCAGAAGAAAGUAGAAAAUGAAUCUCCUACAGGGUCAAGUGGCGUUCCUUCCCUUGUUGGCAGUCCCAAAGAGGGCCUCCCAGUUAUCGAGUCAAUUAACAUGAAGAAAGGAGGACCUCGAACCACUCUUUUCGAACUCUGCAAGAAAGGGGAAUGGACAAGGCCUACAUUUCAAACAACAGAAACUAAGUCGAGAACUCCUAUAAUAUUUGGUGAAGGCAGUGAAAGAAGAGAAUCAUUUAUCAGUUUUAUAUCAAAAAUAACCCUGAACAUACCCUUUUAUGGCAUCAUUGAAUGCGCAGGAGAUCCUAGACCUGAUAAGAAGAGUUCAUUCGAUUCAGCUGCACUUGCUAUGCUUUAUGAGCUUAAAGAGCUGGGACGACUCAUCAUUGUCGAUGCGCAAUGAAUUUGUUAAUUUAGAACAAUUAGGAAACUAACCCAGCUGGCCACUGCCCAGCAACAAUGGCUUCUCAGGCUUUUCUAGCCAUGCUUUAUGUAUAUAUAUCUGUAUAUAUUCAUACAUGCCAUUUUCUUGGCAAAGCUACUUAAUUUAUGUUAUUAUUAAGAUUCUUUUUUCCUUAAAUAUAAUUUAAAA